CGGGGUGUGGCGCAGUUUGGUAGCGCAUCUGCUUUGGGAGCAGAGGGUCGCAGGUUCAAAUCCUGUCACCCCGACCA
This 77-nucleotide transfer RNA is filed under the name Isoptericola jiangsuensis. RNAcentral's name for it is "tRNA-Pro". It matches the Rfam family "tRNA". Rfam says of the family: Transfer RNA (tRNA) molecules are approximately 80 nucleotides in length. Lineage: Bacteria; Bacillati; Actinomycetota; Actinomycetes; Micrococcales; Promicromonosporaceae. The record is from RNAcentral.